RNAcentral lists this ribosomal RNA (253 nucleotides) under uncultured bacterium. Its description in RNAcentral is "partial 16S ribosomal RNA". It matches the Rfam family "Bacterial small subunit ribosomal RNA", at positions 524 to 776 of the family's 1533-position model. The record is from RNAcentral.
UACAGAGGGGGCGAGCGUUGUUCGGAAUUACUGGGCGUAAAGGGCGUGUAGGCGGCCCGCUAAGUCGAACGUGAAAUCCCCGGGCUCAACCCGGGAACUGCGUCCGAUACUGGCAGGCUUGAAUCCGGGAGAGGGAUGUGGAAUUCCAGGUGUAGCGGUGAAAUGCGUAGAUAUCUGGAGGAACACCGGUGGCGAAGGCGGCAUCCUGGACCGGUAUUGACGCUGAGGCGCGAAAGCCAGGGGAGCAAACGGG